RNAcentral lists this ribosomal RNA (271 nucleotides) under uncultured bacterium. Its description in RNAcentral is "partial 16S ribosomal RNA". It matches the Rfam family "Bacterial small subunit ribosomal RNA", at positions 28 to 291 of the family's 1533-position model. The record is from RNAcentral.
GACGAACGCUGGCGGCGCGCCUAACACAUGCAAGUCGAACGGAGAAUGCUAAGCUUGCUUUGCAUUUCUUAGUGGCGGACGGGUGAGUAACACGUGGGCAACCUGCCUUUGUGAGGGGAAUAACGUCUGGAAACGGACGCUAAUACCGCAUAACGUCAAGGAACCGCAUGGUUUUUUGACCAAAGAUUUAUUCGCACAAAGAAUGGGCGUCGCGGCUGAUUAGUCUAGUUGGCGGGGUAACGGCCCACCAAGGCGACGAUCAGUAGCCGGA